Molecule: microRNA, 22 nt
Filed under: Melibe leonina
Lineage: Eukaryota; Metazoa; Mollusca; Gastropoda; Nudibranchia; Dendronotidae
Description: mle-miR-71-3p
Gene: mle-miR-71-3p
Source: miRBase by way of RNAcentral
CCUUACUACUCUGUCUUUUGCA